Molecule: transfer RNA, 72 nt
Filed under: Puccinia graminis f. sp. tritici CRL 75-36-700-3
Lineage: Eukaryota; Fungi; Basidiomycota; Pucciniomycetes; Pucciniales; Pucciniaceae
Description: tRNA-Val (TAC) (tRNA-Val-TAC-2-1)
Rfam family: tRNA
About the family: Transfer RNA (tRNA) molecules are approximately 80 nucleotides in length.
Source: RNAcentral
GGCUUCGUAAUUCAGUGGUAGAAUGCCUGCUUUACACGCAGUAUGCCGUGGGUUCGAUCCCCACCGAGGUCA